RNAcentral lists this transfer RNA (77 nucleotides) under Caudoviricetes sp. RNAcentral's name for it is "tRNA-His". The record is from RNAcentral. Lineage: Duplodnaviria; Heunggongvirae; Uroviricota; Caudoviricetes.
GCAUAGAUUUGGUUGGUUAACACACUGGAUUGUGGCUCCAGCACUCGUGGGUUCGAGUCCCACUAGUCGCCCGCCCA